This 383-nucleotide long non-coding RNA is filed under the name Carica papaya (papaya). RNAcentral's name for it is "long non-coding RNA (CPAP_LNC001500)". Lineage: Eukaryota; Viridiplantae; Streptophyta; Magnoliopsida; Brassicales; Caricaceae. The record is from RNAcentral.
UUUCUCCCCUUGGCUCAGUUUUUGAUGCUGAACCCACCUGUGGCCAAAUCGGAGCCAAACCACCUGUUAAUUGGCCGAAAAAUACCGUCGAAGCCCAGCAGCACCACUACAGAUUUUCUCAAUUUUUUCCUCUGAUGAGGCCCUUCCCGAUUCUCGUUCAAUGUAAUUUUUACACCACUGUGACUACCGUCCUUUCCUUUACAGGUUGACUGGAGCAAAACACCAAACCGCGACUUGCGCCGGAGAAGUCGCCGCACCCGAGAGUUCUGCCACCGGUAAUUCUUGAUUUUCUGGAUUUUUUUAGCCCACCGAGGGCCCUAGGGGUGUUUUAUCACAAGAACCAAUGCAAGUUUGGCCAAAUUCGGCCAAAAAGGGCCAGAAAC